CUAAUCUAAUGAAAACAAGGCAUUUGGUCCCCAGGAGCAAGUCAAGGAUGGGAAGAUGCUUCAAUUUCCCUGUCUCCCAAGUGAUCCCUUAUGGUUACGACUAAAGGAAGACAAUAACUAUAAGUGAUAUUCUUCAUCAUAUACAUUUAAGAUGAUUCCACUGUGGAGCAGACUUGGGUCAUAUCCAUCUCUGCUAGCCAGCCUGUGCUCUGUGAAGUCGCAGUGUACCUGCACUUAGGGGAGGUUAGAAAUGUUGGAAGAUCAAUCCUCACCACCCUACUACCACGUUCAGCUGCCAAGUGCUGGAAAUUGGUGAACAGACACUGCAGCCUUUGGCGAGGUGAAUCUAAGUAUUUUUAGGUUUACCUUCUCAGCAAACUACCAGCAUUGAAUCACUGAGAAUUCUACUUUUACUGAAGAAUUGUUGGGUAGUAGGUUGGCCACACCAAGGAUUAAGAUGAACAAACAGAAGCUAACAAAUGAGACCUAAGGGAGUGCAUUCAUUCUCCAUAGAAGUGAUGGGAAAGAAGAUGGAUAUAACAAAUAUGUAUCCUGGGACUACUUACUGAGAGAGAAGUCCAAAGCAUCUAGAAAGACUGGAAGAACACUGCCAUUGAAUGGGAUAUAUGCAAAGGGGGCAGCUGUGGGUAGCUUCAAUUCAAAUUUUCUGAGCCCUUCCUAAUCCACCCAUGAUGACAUCUUGAGUCAAUGACAUUUCUCAAUAAAGACCUCAUUGGGCAUGGACUGAAA
Myodes glareolus (Bank vole) is the source of this 750-nucleotide long non-coding RNA. RefSeq lists it as uncharacterized. The record is from RefSeq and is a predicted model, not a curated record. NCBI's taxonomy places the organism in Eukaryota, Metazoa, Chordata, Mammalia, Rodentia, Cricetidae.